UCCCUGGUGGCUCAGAUGGUAAAGCAUCUGCCUACAAUGCAGAAGACCAGGGUUCAAUCCCUGCGUUGGGAA
This 72-nucleotide transfer RNA is filed under the name Ovis aries (sheep). It matches the Rfam family "tRNA". From Rfam's summary of the family: Transfer RNA (tRNA) molecules are approximately 80 nucleotides in length. Lineage: Eukaryota; Metazoa; Chordata; Mammalia; Artiodactyla; Bovidae. The record is from Rfam by way of RNAcentral.